This 454-nucleotide ribosomal RNA is filed under the name uncultured organism. RNAcentral describes it as "partial 16S ribosomal RNA". It matches the Rfam family "Bacterial small subunit ribosomal RNA", at positions 331 to 801 of the family's 1533-position model. The record is from RNAcentral.
GUACACUCCUACGGGAGGCAGCAGUGGGGAAUAUUGGACAAUGGGCGCAAGCCUGAUCCAGCCAUGCCGCGUGAGUGAUGAAGGCCCUAGGGUUGUAAAGCUCUUUCACCGGUGAAGAUAAUGACGGUAACCGGAGAAGAAGCCCCGGCUAACUUCGUGCCAGCAGCCGCGGUAAUACGAAGGGGGCUAGCGUUGUUCGGAUUUACUGGGCGUAAAGCGCACGUAGGCGGACUAUUAAGUCAGGGGUGAAAUCCCGGGGCUCAACCCCGGAACUGCCUUUGAUACUGGUAGUCUUGAGUUCGAGAGAGGUGAGUGGAAUUCCGAGUGUAGAGGUGAAAUUCGUAGAUAUUCGGAGGAACACCAGUGGCGAAGGCGGCUCACUGGCUCGAUACUGACGCUGAGGUGCGAAAGCGUGGGGAGCAAACAGGAUUAGAUACCCUUGUAGUCCCAUGAU